CUCCCUCUCGCACGCGUCGCCUGCUCCAAAGAUUUCUUUACCGAGGUUGAGGAGGAGCAGGCGGAGCGCGGGCAGGGCGGACUUCUCCUACCCGACAACGGCUGCAAUGAACGCCGGCGCUCCUCAUCGCCCUCGACCUGCAAGGAGGAGCGCCCGUACUGGACGCUGCCGUCCCCGACAGGCUCUCUUCGAUGGAGCCCCCCUCCAUCUCGACGGCACCUGAGAGCGAGCCCGCACCCGUCCCAGUCGACUACCAUGCUCUACGCUCGACGGCAAGACCCACGAGAUGGGAGUAGGAUGUAUGUUGCGAAGGGAAGAACUGUGGGAUAUGGACGACGAGGCAGCUCGUGAAGAUGCGGUUGCUGCGUCUGCACUGAUUAGAUGAGAAGGUGCUGCUAGGCGAGGAGUGCUCUGGGCAGCGAGGAGUGCCUGGGCCAGCAGCGCCUCUAGGCGGCGAGGAGUGCCUAGGCCAGCGCGGCUAGGACGAGCGCCAGCAGCGGUGGCCUCCACCUGGGCGCCUGGCCAAGGAGGAGUGCCUGGGUGCGGUGCGGCAAGCAGUGCCUGGGAAAUAGUGAGGCGUGAGUUGCUGGGCGAGGCACGAGGUGCUGACGACGGCGAGGUUAAAAUUCAAAUAGAUCUGGGAGCAGAACAAUGGUACCCAUAAAAUGGAGAAAAGGUCAUGAUAUAGUGUGGAAUGCAAAUAUUGCUCACACUGACCUUGCAAAAUGAAGUCAGACCAGAACUGGAUGAUUGAUGCAGGCGAACAAAAUUAAGUUUCGAGGUACACGUAUUUGAGCACCAUGCCCUCCCGAGCUUCACAUAUUUUUGACUGUAAGCUUUACUUUUGUGAUUCAUCUCUUCUACCACUGACAGAUGCUAAACAACAAGGAUAACAUUAUAAACAUUUUGGGAGACAGAUUAAAAAAUAAGUGAAGUAGAAUACACUAUUCAGAAACAAACUUAGCUAUAAAAUCAUAUUAGUAACCCACCUCGCAUCCAUCUUUGUCGACCAGGUGUCGUCUUUGGUAGUUUCUCGCAUCCCCAUCAGCUUAGUUCUGUUGCGCUCUCGUAGUUGCUUAGCAAGAUUUACCCAUUCCCAACCGGAUCCAAACAGGGUUAAGUUCUCUGAGCUCACUAAUUUUGUAGUCAAUUUCAAUGCAAAAACAGGUAAACUAUAUGACCCAAUGCGAUAAACCAUAAGCAAUCAUGUGCAUUUACCUGGCACUGGAGACAUUUGGGAAUGAUGAUCAACAUUAGAGAUAUCACGUAGAGGAGGUCGGCGCAGAUUUGGCACGUCCAUAUCUUCAAGUAUCAUGGUCUGUCGGCGCCUUCAGAAUGAGAACACUGCGACAACAGCGUUGUAAAGACAAAUCCUACUUUAGUUCCCUGGGAAAGGGCAUCCUACUCGCGCCCCUGCCGCUGAUAAGUACCUUUUUUCUCUCCACUUUCUCGCUCAUAAUCCUUAACUUUUCCUAACAAUGGACCAAAUUGUCUUGGUUUAAAUUAAAAGUAGUAUAAGAAACCUGCGGCUAAAUAUUUGUUAGACCUUGCUUUCACCAAAUAGAGUACUGACCACGUUGACGUUUAGCUCACUGACCAAAUUGAGUACUGACCACAGAACUUGCUUUGACCACAUUAAUGGGCCAUAUGCAGAAGUUCAAAUGGUAAUCUCACACUGGUUUAUGCCGGCUCCCGUAAGCACAAAUUAUUUCAUAUGAAAGACGUAUGUAGGUCCGUAUGUAGGUUUAUUUGUUUUCUUAGAAAUGAAAGUAGGAGAGACCCUUACUGUUCAAUUAGGCCAUAGAAAAAACAAGUCCAUUUCUCCUGUCAAGCAAAAUAACUCAAGAAGCUAAUUAAUAGUGCAAACGGAGCUUACUUUUUUCUAAGGAAAUUAUUUGCUUCACAUGACAUUUGUUCCUGCAAUAUUAUAAUUAUAAUUCAAUGUAUUGUUGGUAAUAGGCAAAUUUAUAUCUGAACAAAUUCUAUGAGAAAGCAACGGGGCUCCCUGAAACUACACGGCUCCCUGAAACUACACAUUAUACCCUUUGUGUUAGUCAAGAUCAAAAAAUAGCUAGGCAUUGGUAAUCAUGAUUGUACCUUAUAAUCAAGUUAUUUGUUGCGUUGAUGUCUGGGUUAAAGUAUAUCCGAGACUGCUCAGUCGUACCCAAGAUAGCAUCUGAAAUUCAGUGCAUACAAUCAGAGGCAUGUUACCUCCAGAAAUCCCUAUCAAAAGACACUGGUUUCCUUCCCCGCAUUACAUAUGCCAAAAGAGACUAAGCAUAGCCUUAACCCAUUUAGUUGUCUAGAUGACCAGAUUAAAUCAUAAGCAUUACAUGGUUCUUAUUUCAGUGAAAAGGAAUACCGUUGAAUAAUGAUUACCAAUGCAUAUGUCAGCAUGCAUAAUACAGAAACCACACGUUUAAUCAUUUAGGGGGGCAGAUACAUUUGUUUUCAGAGCCUACAGAUGCACAAAAAUAAAAUAGCACCUACAGACUCACCUGUAUGCUAUGGAUCUUCCACCUCGCAGACUGUGUCGACCUGCUUAGUGCACGGCAGUAGUGAAUAAAAGGGACUGAAUAAGACUGAAAACUAAAAUAAGAAGUAGUGAAUAUGCCAACAAGCUAAGAGGCAAAAGAAAACUAAGAAGGGGACUGAGAGUGAGAGGAUCAAUGAACAUGACUGAAGAAAUAAGAAUGAAUAUGACUAACUAAAUUUCAUAAUACUGAACUGACCACCCACUGUCAAAAAAAUAACAUGGUGAUGACUGACAGAAGU
Long non-coding RNA from Triticum aestivum (bread wheat), 2775 nucleotides. RefSeq lists it as uncharacterized. The record is from RefSeq and is a predicted model, not a curated record. The transcript has 4 exons. Lineage: Eukaryota; Viridiplantae; Streptophyta; Magnoliopsida; Poales; Poaceae.